CAGCAGCCGCGGGAAUACGAAGGGUGCAAGCGUUACUCGGAAUUACUGGGCGUAAAGCGUGUGUAGGUGGUUGUUUAAGUCUGUCGUGAAAGCCCUGGGCUCAACCUGGGAAUUGCGAUGGAUACUGGGCGACUAGAGUGCGGUAGAAGAUAGUGGAAUUUCCGGUGUAGCAGUGAAAUGCGUAGAGAUCGGAAGGAACAUCUGUGGCGAAGGCGACUAUCUGGGCCAACACUGACACUGAGACACGAAAGCGUGGGGAGCAAACAGGAUUAGAUACCCCAGUAGUCCCUGUCUCUUAUAA
Molecule: ribosomal RNA, 301 nt
Filed under: uncultured bacterium
Lineage: Bacteria
Description: partial 16S ribosomal RNA
Rfam family: Bacterial small subunit ribosomal RNA
Source: RNAcentral